CAGCAGCCACGGGAAAACGUAGGGUGCAAGCGCUAAUCGGAAUUACUGGGCGUAAAGCGUGCGCAGGCGGUCCGCUAAGACAGAUGUGAAUUCCCCGGGCUUAACCUGGGAACUGCAUUUGUGACUGGCGGGCUAGAGUAUGGCAGAGGGGGGUAGAAUUCCACGUGUAGCAGUGAAAUGCGUAGAGAUGUGGAGGAAUACCGAUGGCGAAGGCAGCCCCCUGGGCCAAUACUGACGCUCAUGCACGAAAGCGUGGGGAGCAAACAGGAUUAGAUACCCGGGUAGUCCCUGUCUCUUAUAC
This 301-nucleotide ribosomal RNA is filed under the name uncultured bacterium. Its description in RNAcentral is "partial 16S ribosomal RNA". It matches the Rfam family "Bacterial small subunit ribosomal RNA", at positions 509 to 807 of the family's 1533-position model. The record is from RNAcentral.